Papaver somniferum (opium poppy) is the source of this 1285-nucleotide long non-coding RNA. RefSeq lists it as uncharacterized. The transcript has 2 exons. NCBI's taxonomy places the organism in Eukaryota, Viridiplantae, Streptophyta, Magnoliopsida, Ranunculales, Papaveraceae. The record is from RefSeq and is a predicted model, not a curated record.
CGGAUUUCUGGGUAUUGUACGUUUAUAGUUAUUUUCCAUCUUAAACUAAUAAUAAUAAAAAAAUAAAGAUUGAUAAAGGUCCAGUUGUUUAGCAUGCAUGUGAAUGGACCAUACUGCUUUUUGAUCUUUAAGCCUUAUCAAGAUGAUGAAUUAUUGAAGUGUAGUGGACGAAGAGAAGAUGAUAAAGCAGCAGUCCGUUCAUGAGUACUCACAGUGGGUUGCACAGAAUCUUUACUUUUUGCUUGCUUUUUAGUGUUCACAUUGACUAUGACUACACAAUGGAAUGCAACUUCCCCCUAAAUUUCCAAAUAGUCAUAUUCUUCGUAGAGUUUUGAAUCAUAUCAAUUCGUUCUCUUGUUGUUGUUAUUUAUAUAUUCUUCAGUCUCCAUUCACCUCUCCCGCUUUACUCAGCUGAGUUUCUUCUCCUACAAAGUUGACAAAAACAAAAAGAACCAAGUUUUUAUUAGUAAAUCGCCACUAUUAGCUUCCGCCUACUACAUAUAUUGAUGGUACUUAUCAACUGAUACCAUCAACAAAAUUUGUAAAGGAACAAUGCCUAGUACUUCUGAAACCACUCUUGUUAAGCUUAUGGAAUAUCAGGCACAGACUCUAAAGCAAAUAUUAGAGAUUUUAACAAGUAUGAACAGUGGAAUUCCAGUACAAAAUCAAAAUAGUCCAAAUAACCAAAUAAUGCCUUUUAAUUGUAACCACAAUGAUCAAACUGAAGCAAAAAAGGAUGGUCAAGUUGAAAACCCUGCAUCAAUCUGUCAACCACAAGAUGACGGUUUUGCGGAAGGGGGUGUAUGAAAUAUAACAAGCUAUGGUGAUGUUUGAGAAGAAGCUUAAAUUCAAAAAACAAACAACAACAACAGUUAUGGCCGCUGGAGAUGCAGCUACAAGUCAUUGAGGUUGUAGACAUCAAGGAUGAGAGAGAUUGGGGGAAAUAUCUCAUCAACUUGAUGAGUUGUUGAGCUAUGUUUUUUUGGCAGAAUUUUCUCUGCCGCCAGGUUUUACAUUACAACAAGAUAUGUAAUGCCACUAUUUAAGGAUUCAUACUUUUUAACGCCACUUUACUGUUCAAUGCCACUAUACAUUACAAAAGAAAUUUGAGUUUGUGCAUCAGGUUUUACAGUAGAUGAUGUACUGCCUGUAUUCAAGGUUUCCAAUAUUUUUUUGUUAACCUUUUCCUAGCCCUGCCUUUGUAGUAGGAUUUACGAGUCCUGUACUUUGGAAGAUUAUUGUAUAUACUUUGUUUAUCAAAAUAAAAAGAUUUUAUUGGGAAAUA